GGAUUUGGGCUUGAAAUUGUAUAAAUAUGGGGGUAAUGUCAAGGAAAGUAGUGCCUGCAUGUGGUAGUCUCUGCUUCUUUUGUCCAUCAUUGCGAGCAAGGUCAAGACAGCCUGUUAAACGCUACAAGAAGCUCCUUGGAGAGAUUUUCCCCAAAUCACAGGAUGCUGAGCCAAAUGAUAGAAAGAUUGCAAAACUUUGUGAGUAUGCUUCAAGAAACCCAUUGAGAAUACCAAAGAUUACCGAAUACCUGGAGCAAAGGUGUUACAAAGAUUUGCGAAAUGAGCACCUUGGGUCAGUAAAAGUUGUUACAAUGAUCUACAGGAAGCUGCUAUCUUCAUGUAAGGAGCAGAUGCCACUAUAUGCUGCUAGUCUAUUGGGGAUUAUCCGCACUCUUUUUGAACAAACACAGCAUGAUGAAAUGCAGAUUUUAGGUUGCAACACUCUAGUCGACUUCAUCAAUUGCCAGAUGGAUGGUACUUACAUGUUCAACUUAGAAGGCCUUAUACCUAAACUGUGCCAACUAGCUCGAGAAGUUGGAGAUGAUGACAGAGCCUUGCGCUUGCGUUCUGCAGGAAUGCAAACUUUGGCUGUCUUGGUGUGGUUUAUGGGGGAGCAGUCUCAUAUCUCCAUUGACUUUGAUCAUAUUAUUACUGCAACUUUGGAGAAUUACAUUGACUUCACAGUGAACCUAGAAAAUGGACAAGACAGUAAACAGUCUGAACCUUCAGAACAGUGGGUUCAAGGAGUGUUGAAUAGUGAUGAUCACAGCUCAUCUUUCCCUGAUAUGAGCAAGAAGGUUUCCUCCUCGCCAAAUAGCAUGAAUGCAAAUAUAAAAUUGACAUCCUCAAUAGAGACAGCCAAAAGCCCCUCUUAUUGGGCCAGAGUUUGCUUACGUAACAUGGCCUUACUGACAAAAGAAGCAACUAGUGUACGGCGGGUUCUUGAACCUCUUUUUCAUAGUUUUGACACUGAAAACUAUUGGGCGUCAGAGAAAGGACUCGCCUGCUCAGUGCUCAUGCAUUUGCAGUGCCUGCUAGAGGAAUCAGGUGAAAAUUCUCAUUUGUUGCUAUCCAUCUUGGUCAAGCAUUUGGAUCACAAGAACAUUAUCAAGCAGCCUGACAUACAGAUCAGUAUAGUUAAUGUGGUCACACACUUGGUAGAAAGUGCAAAAGAGAAGGCUUCCGCAACUAUAGUUGGUGUCAUUAAUGACCUGAUUAAACAUUUACGGAAGUGCAUGCAGUAUUCAACUGAAGCAUCUAGUCCAAAAGAUGGAUUAAAUACUUCUAACUCCAAUCUUCAGUCUGCCCUAGAGAAGUGCAUAUUACAGCUCUCAAAGAAGCAGGUUGCUGAUGUGGGCCCUAUACUUGAUAUGAUGGGCAUGGUGCUAGAGAACAUUCCAGCUAGCACCGUCGCUGCUAGAUCAACGAUUGCAGCUGUGUAUCGCACAGCACAAAUUGUUUCUUGCAUUCCAAAUGUGUCAUAUUACAGGAAGGCUUUUCCAGAUGCUCUCUUUCUCCACUUGCUCUUGGCAAUGGCACACACUGACCAUGAAACACGAGCUGUAGCACACCAUAUAUUCUCCACUGUGCUUAUGCCACCUGUCAGUCCCUUGUCAUCUCUACAUAGUAGAACUUCUUCCCAGAGUAUUCUAGUCCAAUCACCAAGGAAGUUGGCUAAGGUUAGAACUAAGAGUUUCUCCGUUCAAGAUAGAAAUACAGAUGGAAAUGGUUCUAGAGAUGGAGAAGUGGGAGAAGAAAAUGAAGAUGUCAGUUGCCAUUCACAUCAAUCUGGUGACUCUCGAUCUCAAAGUCAAUCCUGUGGCUUCAAGGAUGCCCUACCUGACAGGAAAUCUGAGCUCAUUUCGCUUCGGUUGAGUAGUCACCAAGUGAGUCUUCUGCUUUCAUCUAUCUGGGUUCAGGCAACACUGACUGAUAACACACCUUCCAAUUUUGAUGCGAUGGCCCAUACGUACAAAAUUGUUUUACUUUUCAUUCGAUCAAAGAAUUCUAGUCAUAUGGCGCUUGUUCGGUCUUUCCAGUUAGCCUUCUCUCUAAGGACUAUUUCGAUGGAUAAAGAAGGAGGUUUACAACCAUCUCGAAGGAGGUCUCUAUUUACUUUGGCAUCAUAUAUGCUCAUCUGUUCAGCAAGGGCGGGCAAUCUCCCUGAACUAAGUCGUGUGGUUAAAUCAUCACUGACAGAUGAAAUGGUUGAUCCUUAUCUUAAGUUGGGAGAAGAUGUGAGGCUGCAAACGGCAUCUGGUAGUGAAACAUAUGGUUAUGGCUCACAGGAAGAUGAAAUUGCAGCUUUGCAAUCCCUGUCAGCAGUAGAGUUAAACGAUGAAAAAUUUAAAGAAAUCAUUAUGUUGCACUUCACAUCUAAAUGCGGAAUAUUGUCAGAGGAUGAGUUACCAAGCAUAAGAAAACAACUCCUGGAAAGGUUUGAACCAGACGAUGCAUAUCCACUUGGGAUUCCUCUGUAUAUGGAAACGCCUCACCCCUGCUCUCCACUUGCUCAGAUUGAGUUCGAGACUUUUGAUGAGGUCAUGGCACCACCUUCCCUCAUAGAUGAAGAAACAAUUUCAGAUGCUAAUGGAAGCCAAUCAGGUCGAAAGACAUCUAUGUCUAUCAAUUCCCUUGACAUUCUAAGUGUUAACCAACUUUUGGAAUCGGUUCUGGAAACUGCCCGACAAGUUGCAAGCUACCCAACUUCCUCUACACCGAUACCCUAUGACCAAGUAAAAAAUCAGUGUGAGGCCCUUGUUACUGGUAAACAACACAAGAUGUCAUCCCUUCAGAGUUUCAAGAUGCAACAGGAAACCAAGGCAUUAAUAUCCUACAAUGAAAAUGACAGGAAGAACCCUUCUUUACCAAAGAUGGAUAUGGUGCUUCACCAGGAUCUACAAUUAACAACAGUUGAAUCAACUCAUACACAAAACUCUCUCUCUUGUUCUCGGGAGUAUGGACAACAGUCCUUUAGGCUGCCACCUUCAAGCCCCUACGAUAAGUUCUUGAAAGCAGCAGGAUGCUGAGUUUGAUGUUUUUACUUACACGUAGCUUCUAAUACUUGUAAGUAUUGUCUCAAGCAUGUUCAUAUCUCGUCUUCAUAUUAAUGUGAAGUGUGUAAGCUGGAAAACAUAAGCGGAAAUAAUAUAUGAGAAAAGGAAAAGAGAAAGAAAUGAUGGUCUGUAGUGUCUUUCUACCUUUUUGUAUCUUUGCUGAA
Molecule: RNA transcript, 3220 nt
Organism: Solanum verrucosum
Lineage: Eukaryota; Viridiplantae; Streptophyta; Magnoliopsida; Solanales; Solanaceae
Gene name: protein SEMI-ROLLED LEAF 2
Exons: 20
Source: RefSeq, a predicted model, not a curated record